This 500-nucleotide ribosomal RNA is filed under the name uncultured Glomeromycotina. Its description in RNAcentral is "partial small subunit ribosomal RNA". It matches the Rfam family "Eukaryotic small subunit ribosomal RNA", at positions 591 to 1092 of the family's 1831-position model. The record is from RNAcentral. Lineage: Eukaryota; Fungi; Glomeromycota.
CCAAUAGCGUAUAUUAAAGUUGUUGCAGUUAAAAAGCUCGUAGUUGAAUUUCGGGAUCAGCGCGUCGGUCGUGCCUCCGGUAUGCACUGGCGCCGCUGGUUUCUCCCUUCUGAGGAACCGUGAUGUCAUUAAUUUGGUGUCGCGGGAAAUCAGGACUGUUACUUUUAAAAAAUUAGAGUGUUUAAAGCGGGCACGCGCUUGAAUACAUUAGCAUGGAAUAACGAAAUAGGACGUUCGGUCUUAUUUUGUUGGUUUCUAGGAUUGACGUAAUGAUUAAUAGGGAUAGUUGGGGGCAUUAGUAUUCAAUUGUCAGAGGUGAAAUUCUUGGAUUUAGUGAAGACUAACUACUGCGAAAGCAUUUGCCAAGGAUGUUUUCAUUAAUCAAGAACGAAAGUUAGGGGAUCGAAGACGAUCAGAUACCGUCGUAGGCUUAACCAUAAACUAUGCCGACUAGGGAUCGGAUGAUGUUAAUUUUAUAAUGACUCAUUCGGCGCCUUACG